GCAGGAUCUCCGGGGCGAGGGGCGCUCGCGGGUGAGCUCCUCCUCCUUCUCCUCGCGACACGUGCUGGGCCCCGGGACCCUCUGUCCAGGUGGGCGAGGUACAGAUGCCAUGGAAAGGGUGUGAGUGAAGGCCCACAGGGUCUCGGCUGUGGCUUCCUGCCCGGAUGACCGAAGUACGCAGAAGGGAAAGACACGGACAUCUUGUGAUCAUAGGUGAUGGUGGCGUACUGCUGUGCCCCAGCUCCAUGGCCUGGCGGAGCAGACAUGUUCGUGAUGGAGAGACAGCUCAAGUCACCUGGGAACUUGCUGGCCCAUGGUCAAGCAUUCAGGUCGCUUUCAGUGUGGAGGACCAGAGUUCACCUCUGCUGUGUGUUUCUGCUGAUGUGACCUGGAAUAAUUCUUCCUGGGCAAGUCCCUGAUUUAGCAUCCUUGAAUCCUUGCUUUAGGCCUUCUCUCCCAGUCUGGGAAAAACCUAGAAACAUUCUAGUAUUACCUGUUCUAUGUGCCAAAAAGAAGUAAAAUCCUAGAAUGGGUGUAAAAUAAUAAACCUUUAAAAUAAUAUCUAAAAGAGGUGUAGUUUCUUCCAAGAAUGGUGUAUGUCUGAAGAAGGCUUUGGAGGUGUGAAGCAUAAGAGAUAAGCAGGUGACUGGAGAUUAGGAUAACCUGAGAGAACAGUGCUUGGACUCUAGUACACGAGGUAAAUUCAAAGACUAAAGAUGAGAGGAGGGUAGGAAGAUGCCCGCCUAAGUCUUCCCCCAACGGCUCCAUUCACACCACACAUGAGUAUGUAUUAUAUGCACAUACAUAUAACAUGUAGUAUUGUAUAAAUUGUGGUAGACAGAAUAAUUCUCCCCAAAUAUGCCCACGCCCUAAUCCCAAGAACCUGUAUGUCACCUUACAUGGCGAAAGGGACUUUGCAGAUGUGAGGACGGGCACAGGCCUUAAGAUGGGAGAUGAUCCUGGAUUAUCUGGGUGCCCCAUCUAACCACAUGAGUCCUUAAAUGAGAACAGUUCCUGGCUGUGUCCGGACGUGGUGUGAGGACUCACCCCACCACUCACGGCUUUGAAGGUGGACGAAGGGCCCAUGAGACAAGGAAUGUAGCAGUCGCUAGAAGCCGGGAACACCCCUCUGCUUACAGCCAGAAAACGAGGACCUCAGUUUCACAACUGCAAGGAAUUGGUUCUGCCAACAACUCAAAUGAACAGGAAGAGAUUCUCCCUGGACACUCUGGAAAGGGAUGCAGGCAGCUCUGCUGACACCUUGGUUGUAACCAUGUGGGACCCAUGCCAGACUUCUGAUCUGUGAACUUGUAUUGAUUAAACCCACUAAGUCUGUGACAAUCUGUCUCAGCAACAAAAGGAAGCUAAUACAAUAAUGACACUUCUGCAGACAGAAAUGACUAAACCACCAUCUUGGAUGCAUUCACAGCCUCCACACCGGCCUAGCAUAGCCAAACACGAAUCCACCUCUGGAGUCUACCAUCACCCCCAUCACCCCCAUCACCGCCAUCACAACCAAAGGUGACAAGGACGAAGCAAGUCCCUUAGCUGGAAGACUCCAACAAGCACAUGAGGCAGUCGUGUUACUGGGUGGCUAAGAUCUUGGAGCCAGACAAUGGAUGUGGACCUGGGCUCCUUCCCUCAUUAGCUAGCUAGCCACGAACAAGUUACUUUACCUCUCUGUGCCUGGCUUUCCUCAGGUUACCUCUCUGUGCCUCUCCGUUGUCAUUCUUCAAAUUGGGAAUGUUUUAAAGAUAAAAUUAGUAUAAAUUGUGUAGAAUCGUUCCCGAUACAUCUGGUUCUCCGUAAAAAAUAACUAUCAUUGUUUUCAUUAUUAUCACUAACACGAUUAUCAUCCGCACUUUGUCGUUGGCAAAACUAGUGCACACAGUUUAGAUUCGUCCAAGGUCGCAGAGCCAGGAAGUGAGGUCUGUCUCCUCACUAAUCCAGGAAGGUAACAAUUGAACAGGGACCCCGCCUCCAGCGGCCUCACCUGUGCACACCCUCAGGCCCUCCUGGUCUUCUCUGCCCCACCAGCCUU
Molecule: long non-coding RNA, 2041 nt
Organism: Rhinolophus ferrumequinum (greater horseshoe bat)
Lineage: Eukaryota; Metazoa; Chordata; Mammalia; Chiroptera; Rhinolophidae
Exons: 4
Source: RefSeq, a predicted model, not a curated record